Non-coding RNA from Vicugna pacos (alpaca), 1076 nucleotides. The record is from RefSeq and is a predicted model, not a curated record. NCBI's taxonomy places the organism in Eukaryota, Metazoa, Chordata, Mammalia, Artiodactyla, Camelidae.
CAUAGUUCAUCCAGGGUGAAGUUUGGAGGAAAGAUCCAGCAGUCAGUGCUGGUGAAAUUUAAAGGAAAAAUUUUGGAGCUUUGUGGACCCCUGAUCACUGUGUGAAGAGAAUUGGAUUUGACUGUCCGACGACUGUGAUGAAAGCAGUUUCAGGUGACUGGCCCAGCAGAAGUGAGAAGAAUUUAUCUUCAGUAUAAACUUCAUCAUUCUACAGUGUCUCUUCAUUUGCCCAGGAGAAAGAAGUGCCCUGGCACCUCCCACAAUGUAUCUGUGGGCACAUGAUGCUCAAGCAACCAGUCGGGAAAGUGCUGCCUCCUAACUCAGCUUCCUGGAGACUCACGAGACAGUGAUGAUGCCAUGGCUCCAACGGACUGUGACUACCUGUCGGACACUGCUUUCUUUAUCCGAGUGUCACUUCCCUCUUAUCAGACUUUGUCCUUUCCUGGCAGAGGAAAUCAAGAUCCACAGUGGUGAGUCUUAACUCCUAAUCCAGGGUUCUAAACAUUUGUCUGUUGUAGCAUGAUAAAAACUUGGCUUAUUUUUUCUUUCUUUUUAUCUAUUUUCUUCUGUUUAUCUGUCUUCUCCUUCUGGCUUUCUUGAGUGUGGUUUAAGCCCCUGACUCUCUCCCUCAACUCCCUGUCUCCCACCACUGUUAGGGUUCUGGAGGAGCUCAGGGACACCAAAGGUAACAACCUGAGGGUGGGAAAGCUAACUGGAAAUAGGCUGGAUUUUUCCCCCACUCAUGUGGACUUCGGAGACACCGGAUAGCCCUUUGGUUUCUUCUCUGCCCCCUUCCCGAAAUGCAGUCCGCAGACUCCAUGAGACCACACGUCAGGGCAAGGACAUCUGAAGGGUCUCUUUCCCAAACACUGGUGAAGAUGCUUCAGCUCUUAUGUUGAGCAAAUUAUUUCAAUUUGCCCCAUCUGCCAGGAAUAUAAUUUUUAUAAAAAUGUAAGUGAGGCGACGAUGAGAGUCAGGUCUUUUAAAGAACCAGUGAAUUUUGUGUCUGUGUGUUUAUGCCUUUGAACCAUGGCUAAAAUUUUAAAAUGAAAAAUUAGAGAUCUUUCUCUAUUUGU